GCGGUUUAUCCGGAUUAUUGGGCGUAAAGCGCGCGUAGGCGGUUUCUUAAGUCUGAUGUGCAAAGCCCACGGCUCAACCGUGGAGGGUCAUUGGAAACUGGGGAACUUGAGUGCAGAAGAGGAGAGUGGAAUUCCAUGUGUAGCGGUGAAAUGCGCAGAGAUAUGGAGGAACACCAGUGGCGAAGGCGGCUCUCUGGUCUGUAACUGACGCUGAUGUGCGAAAGCGUGGGGAUCAAACAGGAUUAGAUACCCUGGUAGUCCACGCCGUAA
Molecule: ribosomal RNA, 270 nt
Filed under: Mammaliicoccus lentus
Lineage: Bacteria; Bacillati; Bacillota; Bacilli; Caryophanales; Staphylococcaceae
Description: Staphylococcus lentus partial 16S ribosomal RNA
Rfam family: Bacterial small subunit ribosomal RNA
Source: RNAcentral